AAUAGAUACCCGGGUAGUCCAUGCCGUAAACGGUGGGCACUAGAUGUGGGGCUCUUUCCAUGAGUUCCGCGUCGCAGCUAACGCAUUAAGUGCCCCGCCUGGGGAGUACGGCCGCAAGGCUAAAACUCAAAGGAAUUGACGGGGGCCCGCACAAGCGGCGGAGCAUGCGGAUUAAUUCGAUGCAACGCGAAGAACCUUACCAAGGCUUGACAUAUACCCUUUAUCCCUAGAGAUAGGGAGUCCUUCGGGGGGUAGUACAGGUGGUGCAUGGUUGUCGUCAGCUCGUGUCGUGAGAUGUUGGGUUAAGUCCCGCAACGAGCGCAACCCUCGUCCUAUGUUGCCAGCACGUAAUGGUGGGGACUCAUAGGAGACUGCCGGGGUCAACUCGGAGGAAGGUGGGGAUGACGUCAAAUCAUCAUGCCCCUUAUGUCUUGGGCUUCACGCAUGCUACAAUGGCCGGUACAAGGGCUGCAAUACCGCAAGGUGGAGCGAAUCCCAAAAGCCGGUCUCAGUUCGGAUUGAGGU
This 525-nucleotide ribosomal RNA is filed under the name uncultured bacterium. RNAcentral describes it as "bacterial SSU rRNA". It matches the Rfam family "Bacterial small subunit ribosomal RNA", at positions 777 to 1304 of the family's 1533-position model. The record is from RNAcentral.